This 253-nucleotide ribosomal RNA is filed under the name uncultured bacterium. RNAcentral describes it as "partial 16S ribosomal RNA". It matches the Rfam family "Bacterial small subunit ribosomal RNA", at positions 524 to 776 of the family's 1533-position model. The record is from RNAcentral.
UACGGGGGGGGCAAGCGUUGUUCGGAAUUACUGGGCGUAAAGGGUUUGUAGGUGGCUUGCUAAGUCAGACGUGAAAUCCCUCAGCUUAACUGGGGAACUGCGUCUGAGACUGGCAAGCUUGAGUGCAGGAGAGGAACGCGGAAUUCCAGGUGUAGCGGUGAAAUGCGUAGAUAUCAGGAGGAACACCAAUAGCGAAGGCAGCUCGCUGGGACGGUAUUGACGCUAAGGCGCGAAAGCGUGGGGAGCAAACAGG